Molecule: long non-coding RNA, 380 nt
Filed under: Homo sapiens (human)
Lineage: Eukaryota; Metazoa; Chordata; Mammalia; Primates; Hominidae
Description: non-protein coding lnc-PDE6B-1:10
Source: RNAcentral
AAAGGCAUCUGUGCUUUUUCCUGUUGGUCAGCGGGUGACUCCUUCCUCCGUCGUCCCACCAUGCGUGCGGCCAUCUUUUGUUGCGUGCCUACACUGUCGAUGUCAGGCUGGGGACACACAGGACCGACCGAGCAUGGACAAGUCCCAGGUGGCCUUGGAAUGAACAAGCCCCUCCCUUCUCACGCGUACUUCUCGAGAAUACCUGAAGAAUGUGCCAGGAAUGCAACCACCUGGUCUAGGGAAGGACCGGCCGGACAGCCCUGGCUCUGCUCCUGUGCCUCCUAGGGCAGGAUGUCCCACACACUGUAGCCCUAUGAGUCACCCCUGGCUAUGGAACCCAGAGCAGAGUGCACCUUUGGGAUCUCUCAGCUGUGGUGUGA